Molecule: long non-coding RNA, 290 nt
Filed under: Mustela putorius furo (domestic ferret)
Lineage: Eukaryota; Metazoa; Chordata; Mammalia; Carnivora; Mustelidae
Description: lncRNA (ENSMPUG00000024489.1)
Source: RNAcentral
GAAGACAGAAUUCAAGAAGUAACGUGAAUUUCUAAGAACAACUGCAGCUGAAGGAUAUGGAUGUAGAGUUCCCUGUGGCCGUAGUGAUUUGGAAAGGAGCCCAGUUUACACAAACGCACACAAUAGAAUCUCUGUGGAACGUCGUUGCUCCUGGCAUUGCAUCCCACUCCCACAUCUCUGACUGGGGAUGGAUUUUACUAUUGACUCCUGCCUCAAUGAAGAACAUUAAUGGUUUUACCCUCAUUCCAUCAGUACAAUGGAAACUCCUUCAAGAAAUGUUGGAAUCCCUU